GACGAACGCUGGCGGCGUGCUUAACACAUGCCAGUCGAACGGAAAGGCCCUGCUUGCAGGGUACUCGAGUGGCGAACGGGUGAGUAACACGUGGGUGAUCUGCCCUGCACUUCGGGAUAAGCCUGGGAAACUGGGUCUAAUACCGGAUAGGAGCCAAUUUUAGUGUGAUGGUUGGAAAGUUUUUUCGGUGUAGGAUGAGCUCGCGGCCUAUCAGCUUGUUGGUGGGGUAAUGGCCUACCAAGGCGGCGACGGGUAGCCGGCCUGGGAGGGUGGACGGCCACAUUGGGACUGAGAUACGGCCCAGACUCCUACGGGAGGCAGCAGUGGGGAAUAUUGCACAAUGGGCGCAAGCCUGAUGCAGCGACGCCGCGUGGGGGAUGACGGCCUUCGGGUUGUAAACUCCUUUCGCUAGGGACGAAGCUUUUUGUGACGGUACCUAGAUAAGAAGCACCGGCUAACUACGUG
Molecule: ribosomal RNA, 465 nt
Filed under: uncultured bacterium
Lineage: Bacteria
Description: partial 16S ribosomal RNA
Rfam family: Bacterial small subunit ribosomal RNA
Source: RNAcentral